CCAGCCUGGAAUAUAAGUUGCUGUCUUCAAGACUACUGCAAAAUCGGGGAGGCCUGUGGAGCAAUGGUAAAGGUGAUGAUAUGGCCACAUUGCUCUUCAUUUCACUUUUGGAGAAAUUUGGUUUCCAGAAUAUAUGAAGAUAAUAAAGAUGCACAGUAGCAUUAUAAAUUUCAGGGAAAAAAUUGAAAUACAGGAAUAUAAAUUACUUUGGUAAUUGUGAAUAUUUCAUGAAGAAACUCUGGAAGAUGCAGAAAUUGGGAGAAAGGGGUGUGGAGUCCAGAAUCAAAGAUAUGUCAGUAUUAGCCUGACAUCUUACACAGUGGUUCCUUAGGAAUGUGAUGACUCCCAGGCAGAGAGCCUAUGCUGACAGUCAUCCUCAGUGACAACUGAAAGAUCAGAGUGCAGGGCAGAAAUAUUGCUCCAUUCUCUGAUGCAUAUCCAGUGAAACAAGACUAUCAAGAACUGGGACCAGAUGUCUGCCCCACCCAGAGACCAGCCAUCUCCCCAAGCUGGAGACUGCCCUGCAUAUAACUGGCUUAUAGUCUUUGUUCUGGGAGAUGGUUCUUUUAGACGUGAGUCAGCCAUCUUCCCUCUUGCUAGCAAGCAUAAUAAAGUCCUUUCUCUCCUAC
This 629-nucleotide long non-coding RNA is filed under the name Equus caballus (horse). Its description in RNAcentral is "lncRNA (ENSECAG00000052156.1)". The record is from RNAcentral. Lineage: Eukaryota; Metazoa; Chordata; Mammalia; Perissodactyla; Equidae.